AAGUCGUAACAAGGUUUCCGUAGGUGAACCUGCGGAAGGAUCAUUACAGAGUUCAUGCCCUCACGGGUAGAUCUCCCACCCUUGUAUAUAUAAUUAUCUGUUGCUUUGGCGGGCCGCGAGCCUAGCUUGCCCGGGUUCUGCCCGGCGUGCCCGCCAGAGGAAACCCAACUACUGCAUGAUUAUGUGUCGUCUGAUGCUACUAUAUAAUAGUUAAAAC
Molecule: unclassified non-coding RNA, 217 nt
Filed under: plant metagenome
Description: partial contains small subunit ribosomal RNA and internal transcribed spacer 1
Rfam family: Eukaryotic small subunit ribosomal RNA (bases 1-46)
Source: RNAcentral